This 115-nucleotide small nucleolar RNA is filed under the name Lodderomyces elongisporus NRRL YB-4239. RNAcentral describes it as "Small nucleolar RNA snR73". It matches the Rfam family "Small nucleolar RNA snR73". The record is from Rfam by way of RNAcentral. Lineage: Eukaryota; Fungi; Ascomycota; Pichiomycetes; Serinales; Debaryomycetaceae.
GUUGAUGAUGAUUAUGCCACAUUUAAUCACGACGGUCUACUGUUUGUUUAAGGACUGUUAAUCCUUAAAUGUUGAUGAUAAAUACUCGGCCUUGACCGGCCGGUGGUGCCUGAUA